Long non-coding RNA from Macadamia integrifolia, 1051 nucleotides. RefSeq lists it as uncharacterized. The record is from RefSeq and is a predicted model, not a curated record. The transcript has 2 exons. Lineage: Eukaryota; Viridiplantae; Streptophyta; Magnoliopsida; Proteales; Proteaceae.
UUUCCCAUAUUCUUAAUGAUGUGCAAAACGCCAUAGAAAGUCUAACAAUGAAUAUAUAAACAUUAAUCAGGCAUUUGAGAUUUCAAGGCACCCACAUUUGUAGUCAAUACCAUAUAUCUUUUAAUCCUCCUAGUGCCUGUUCACCAGGGAAACCAAUCUCCACUGCACAUGCUCACAAGAGCUUUUCUGAAAGCCAAAGCUGCAACAGUUCUAGCAAUGAUAAGAUAGCCUAAUUUCAAGCUAGAAAAAAUGACAGAAUUGAUAGUCAACUAUGAUUAUAUGGCUGCUGACAUAGAUAUGGCUUCAACUGAUGUUGGAAUGGACUAUAAGCAGCCUCUUUUACGUAAUAAACAUAGUAAUGAUAGAUCAACUAUCAAAACAGAGGAGGAGGUUAUGAAACUUUUUCAUGAUGCACAGAGGCCCAAAGUUGAAUCAAAGCAACCAAAAUCCAUCAAAAAUAUCCUAAUGGAUCUGAAAGAAGAGGGGUUCAAGGUUGGAUGUGUAUCGAGGCAAAAAUCUAUCAUAGAAGCAUUACCCAUAAUUCCCAAAUCCAGUGAUGUUCCUUCUGGUUUCAAGCCUAAUGCAGAGAAAGCAGCUGCUGGGACAGCAAAGGAAAACAAUGAUUCUGUGAAACGUGUAGCAGUAUCACAUCCUCUGGAGUUCUGCUUGACCCUUUUUUUUUUAUCUUCUUUUCUUUACAUCCAAACACAACUAAGGUUUUCUUAUUUGACCAACUCAGCCCUAUUAGUGCAGAAACAAAACGGAUUGGAAUGAUGUCGUCACGGGUCUCAACUGAACUAAAUAUGCAUGCCAAAUAAGUUAUACGAUCAACAGGAAGCAACAAUGAAUAGAGAUGGUAGAUGUAGAUAGUUCAGAGAUUAAAAAAAUAAACACCUUAUCUGCAGCACCGAGAAGGAAGUCGAAUCCAAGCUAGGGUUGAUCUAUUUUGGAAUGUGAAAACACGCUCGGAUAGUUGGUCACUCUUGCAUCUGUAUGAAAUGGCACAUGUUUAGUGGUGGGACUACUUCUAUAUGAGUAUAUUACUGAUGAC